This 397-nucleotide ribosomal RNA is filed under the name uncultured bacterium. RNAcentral's name for it is "partial 16S ribosomal RNA". It matches the Rfam family "Bacterial small subunit ribosomal RNA", at positions 523 to 918 of the family's 1533-position model. The record is from RNAcentral.
AUACGUAGGUGACAAGCGUUAUCCGGAUUUACUGGGCGUAAAGGGCGUGUAGGCGGUCUUGCAAGUCAGAAGUGAAAUUCCUGAGCUCAACUCGGGCGCUGCUUCUGAAACUGCAGGACUUGAGUGCUGGAGGGGAUAGCGGAAUUCCUAGUGGAGCGGUAAAAUGCGCAGAUAUUAGGAAGAACACCGGUGGCGAAGGCGGGUAACGGGACAGUAACGUACGCUGAGGCGCGAAAGCGGGGGGAGCAAACAGGAUUAGAUACCCUGGUAGUCCCCGCCGUAAACGAUGAAUACUAGGUGUAGGGGGUAUCGACUCCCUCUGUGCCGCAGUUAACACAAUAAGUAUUCCGCCUGGGGAGUACGGCCGCAAGGUUGAAACUCAAAUGAAUUGACGGGG